Molecule: ribosomal RNA, 484 nt
Filed under: uncultured bacterium
Lineage: Bacteria
Description: partial 16S ribosomal RNA
Rfam family: Bacterial small subunit ribosomal RNA
Source: RNAcentral
AUUGAACGCUGGCGGCAGGCCUAACACAUGCAAGUCGAGCGGAUGAAGGGAGCUUGCUCCUGGAUUCAGCGGCGGACGGGUGAGUAAUGCCUAGGAAUCUGCCUGGUAGUGGGGGAUAACGUCCGGAAACGGGCGCUAAUACCGCAUACGUCCUGAGGGAGAAAGUGGGGGAUCUUCGGACCACACGCUAUCAGAUGAGCCUAGGUCGGAUUAGCUAGUUGGUGGGGUAAAGGCCUACCAAGGCGACGAUCCGUAACUGGUCUGAGAGGAUGAUCAGUCACACUGGAACUGAGACACGGUCCAGACUCCUACGGGAGGCAGCAGUGGGGAAUAUUGGACAAUGGGCGAAAGCCUGAUCCAGCCAUGCCGCGUGUGUGAAGAAGGUCUUCGGAUUGUAAAGCACUUUAAGUUGGGAGGAAGGGCAGUAAGUUAAUACCUUGCUGUUUUGACGCUACCAACAGAAUAAGCACCGGCUAACUUCGUG